This 200-nucleotide ribosomal RNA is filed under the name uncultured bacterium. RNAcentral's name for it is "partial 16S ribosomal RNA". It matches the Rfam family "Bacterial small subunit ribosomal RNA", at positions 524 to 720 of the family's 1533-position model. The record is from RNAcentral.
GACAGAGGAUGCAAGCGUUAUCCGGAAUGAUUGGGCGUAAAGCGUCUGUAGGUGGCUUUUUAAGUCCGCCGUCAAAUCCCAGGGCUCAACCCUGGACAGGCGGUGGAAACUACCAAGCUGGAGUGACGGUAGGGGCAGAGGGAAUUUCCGGUGGAGCGGUGAAAUGCGUGAGAGAGUCGGAAAAGAACACCAAGGCGAAG